CCUACGGGUGGCAGCAGUGGGGAAUAUUGCGCAAUGGGCGAAAGCCUGACGCAGCGACGCCGCGUGAGGGAUGAAGGUCUUCGGAUCGUAAACCCCUGUCAGCAGGGAAGAACGGUCACUGUGCUAAUCAGCAGUGAAUUGACGGUACCUGCAAAGGAAGCACCGGCUAACUCCGUGCCAGCAGCCGCGGUAAUACGGAGGGUGCGAGCGUUAAUCGGAAUUACGGGGCGUAAAGCGCUCGUAGGCGGUAUGUCAAGUCAAGGGUGAAAUCCCCGCGCUCAACGUGGGAACAGCCUUUGAAACUGACAAACUGGAGUGUGUGAGAGGAUAGUGGAAUUCCAGGUGUAGGAGUGAAAUCCGUAGAUAUCUGGAGGAACAUCAGUGGCGAAGGCGACUAUCUGGCACAUAACUGACGCUGAGGAGCGAAAGCGUGGGUAGCAAACAGGAUUAGAUACCCUUGUAGUC
Molecule: ribosomal RNA, 465 nt
Filed under: uncultured bacterium
Lineage: Bacteria
Description: partial 16S ribosomal RNA
Rfam family: Bacterial small subunit ribosomal RNA
Source: RNAcentral